Molecule: RNA transcript, 7306 nt
Organism: Camelus dromedarius (Arabian camel)
Lineage: Eukaryota; Metazoa; Chordata; Mammalia; Artiodactyla; Camelidae
Exons: 5
Source: RefSeq, a predicted model, not a curated record
GGUCUCAGGCCAAUCCCGGCGCGGUCGCGCGUGAGGCGGGCGAUGGGCCCUGGACGUCGGCGGCCUGGUCCGCGCCGGCGGCCCGAGGCGGCGGCGAAGGGCGCGGGGCGGGGCCCAGAGGCACCGCAGCCAGGGCUGGGUCCACACUGAAUGCGGGGAGCCCUGGGGGUCCCGAGCGAACGCGCAGGAAAGGCCGCGUCUGGGGAAGAGGCCGCGCUUGCUGCGGGGGUCUUCAUCCGCGUAACCGCUGAGGAGGCCGGAAGGCGGCCCGCAGGAAGGAGCGACAGGCACCCUGGGGCCCCGCGGACCAGGCAGGAACUGCUGGAACAAAGCAUCGCUACUAAGGCCAGGAGGAGGGGGACUCCAGGAAUAGGAAUCUCACUGGGAAGAACUACCCCCUCCAGCCUCUGACUGAGACCCAUCAGAGCUCCCGGAAAGAAGCAGAAGAAAGCCAGUAAAGGAGCGUAUCACCCAGAGGGAGCAAGGCUUGAGUGAUUUCACCGCAUUCAGCUGACUAAAGGUCAUCCGGCUGGUGUGUGGGUGGUUUUAGGAGGAGAGUCCGGGAGCUCCUGGUAUCCUGGUCCUCUUUCCUGCGCUUCUAGGUAUGCCUUCCCAGGUUUUGACACUCUUCCAAGAACAGCAGAAAAUGAGCAAAUCCCAGAAACGUGCUGGUCAGGAGUCCGUGUCAUUCAAGGACGUGACUGUAGACUUCACCUGGGACGAGUGGCUGCAACUGACGGGCAUGCAGAGGACCCUGUACCGGGACGUGAUGCUGGAGAACUACAGACAGCCACCUGGUGUCCGUGGGGUGCUGCAUCACCAAACCAGAGGUGAUCUUCAAGCUGGAGCAAGGGGAAGAGCCGUGGCCACGAGAGGGAGAGCUCCCGGGCCGGAGGGACCCAGGUGAGUUAGGCGGUAUCAGGAAGAAGCCAAUGGGAAUCAGGUCCCAGGUUAGUUGGUUCAGAAGUUGAGACCUUUUGUCUGUGUCUCAGAACCCUGUUUAGGGGCCUUGGAGCUUUGGGAGUAAGUGAGCAGUAAGCCAGCCUCAGGUCACCUGACCCGCACGUCCGUCCGCCGCUCUCAGUACCAGCGCUCCCCUUUCCUGCCUGCCUUUUAGGGGUUGGCCAUUCUCGAGCCCAGCGCUGAAGCCUGCCUGCCCCAUCGCAGACCUUUGUUCUUGCUUCCUCCUUCUCUAGUACUCAUUUUCCCUCCAUUUCCCGGGCUGCUUCCUUUUCACUGCCCCCCAGGCAGGCGUGCGUGCAUUCCUUCUGCAGGUACUCCUAGUCCGCGCUCCGAGUCGGGGACUUGCUGGUGAACACACUCUGUCCCUGAGCUCCUAGAGCCCCCGGCUGGUGCGGGGUGGGGUAGACAUACAUAAAGAAGCCCACGUGUCCGGUGGUGGCAAGAGUGGGGGAAGAAGUGAAGCAGGCUGGCGGGAGCUAGAGAGCAGGGCGUGCUCUUUUACAAGGCGGUGGGAGAAUGCCUUUCUGAUGGAGUCGGUAAGGAAGUGAGUCCUGCGGAUUCCAGGGGCUCCAGGCAGAGGAGCAGCCAGAAGGGACAGCCACAGGGCCGAGCUCCUGCCACAUGAGUUUGGCGGAAGUGCCCUGAGAAAGGGAGGCCAGUGUGGCGGCAGGAGCACCUGAGACGGAUGCUGGCAGGAGGUGACAUCAGAGGUCGCCAGGGGCCAGAUGAUGUCUUACAGGACUUGGGAAGGGCUUUGAUUUUAUUUUGGGUGAGAUGGGUAGCUGUUAAUGGAUUUCUGCAAAAGAAUAUGUUUUAAAAGGAUUUCUUUGAUACUAUGAAGAGAAAAUUGGGGCUGGGGCAAGGGUGGUGAACACAAGUGAAAACAGAGACAGUGUGACAUGCUGGCCCCUGAAAUACCCACAGCCACCACUGAUAAGGUGAAUCUGAAUUGACUGCUCAGCCUGACAGUCUUGGUAGCAUCUUGGAGGAGAGUAAACAAGGCCGGUUAUUUAUGAGAUUUGAGGGUAUGCCUUAAGGUAUACUUUUUUAAUGCAGUGCUUGAUAACCAUUGGGUAAGAAUCAAAAUUUAAUAGUUUAGGACUUGUGGACACAGCAAGGAUUGAAUAGUCCUAGAGAACGACCAGUUCACUAUCUAUUGGAAAGGUGAGAAGUUGUUUAAAAGGGUUUUGAGGAAGUUUCCGAAGUGAAAAGUGAAAUCAUUUGCAACUUUUAUCUUCCUGGGCAUGAGCUUCCUGGAGGAGUAACAUCUGCUGAUGAAGACAGAACAGUGGUUGUGGUGAUGCAGAGUAAGCUGGGCGUUGACGGUCUCACCUCUCGACGGCGAGGCAGUGUCUGCAGUGGCUCAGUGUGACGUGAUGGUGGUAGAGGUGACGACGCGGUGCGGCUUCGUAUUGUGAGAGUGGGCUGUGCUGCUGGGCUGGAGAGAAGUGGGGAGGCAAGGGUGGCCUUAGUGACCGGAUGGCAGGUGUUUACUGAGAUGGGGGGAUGGUUCAGGGCAAGUUUUUAAGCAGUUACUUUGAGAAGUGUCAGUGAUUUGAGGUGAUUAUUAAUGAUUCCAGUUUAGAUAUUGAUGAGGCACUUGGACAUACAGAUCUGGAGUUGGAGAACAGGCAGGAGUGCAGGUUAAUUCAGAAGUCAGGUUGGAAGGUGGUGUGCGGUCAUGACAGAGCCUUGCGGGGUGGAAGUGGACAGACAGGAAAAGAGGCUGAAGCCGAGGGCCUCACCACACAGAGAAGUCACAUGCUUAAGAGAAGGAAACUGAGAGAGUACACCUGGAGGCCAAGAAAGGCACUUUUCAAGAAGGAAAGAACAAACUUCUGAUUUGAAAAUGGAAAUAUGAAGUCAGCAUUUCCCCUUUUUCUUCUUGUACACCAUCUAAAGCCACCAGGAGAUGAGAAACCAGUUGCAGACUCAUAUUUUCUACAAAUCUGAGAAAUAGCUAAACUCGAAACCAGGGCGUGAGUGGAAAAACCGUUGGAAGCAGUGAAAACUCAAGCUGUGUACCUGCGCCUUAGGGGGCUCUCCAGGAAGGAGGCGGAGGUGACUGACCCUUGGUAAAGCACCGGAGGGGGCUGCAGAGGACUGUGGCAGGAACUUCCCUGCCACCCGCUUCGGUUCUGAGAAGCGGAGGCGCGGGACUCAGGGUGGAAUCACACACAGAUGGCCUUAGCUGCAGUUUGGGGGUAAAAGAGAUUUUGCACGUGAAAACACCCAGAGAAAUGAGAGCUAAUCAGAUCCAAUGUUAAGUCCUUGGUCCUAAGCAGCCAGUGAAGGAUGCAUGGAAGUUUUCAUAAGAAAAAAAGACGAAGAGAAAAAAGAAAAGGCCAAAAAAAUUAGUUAAGUCAAGAACACUCAACCUGAAACAUAUUGUCAUAGAGAAAUAUUGUGACCAAGCAUUUCACUAUGAAUAAUUUAUAACUUAGUGAAGCAAAUGCGUUUAUGAUGCAGAAGCACAGGAUUGUGUGUCAGCACCAAAGAGAGAGAUGGGGAGACCACAGGGCAUUAUCUGAAGGCUUCCCGUUCUCAGGUACGAACCGGAAGAAAAAACAUCCCAACAAAAAGAUGUAUAAAUUUGGAAGGAGCACAGGAGCUGAAAACAGUGAAGGACCUGGAAGAGAAGCACAGGGAGUGAUCAGAAGGAGCUGGAUAUCAGGGCAAAAGUAAGUGGUCACGUGUGGCCGACUGAAAAGGGAGAUUCAGCACACACAUAAUUCAGCCCUCAGGGUACAAAGCCAAAAAUAAUUGAAUAGAACAAAUAUUUAAAGAUGUAUUUCAAGUAAAACGUGCUGGUAUGAAAGAAGACUGGAGUCUACAUGAAAAGGGCAGAGUAACUACGGGGAAACUCACUCAGAAUUGUCACCAGCAGGAUACAGCCUAGGGACGUUAAUAGAUUUUUGAAGAAAGAAGAUUCUUUUUGGUCUGCCAAAGCAAAGAAUUAAGUCAUUUUUAAAAACUUUGUUGAGGAAUAAUUGACAGAUACAAUUGUAUAUAUUUAAAGGGUACAAUGUGAUGAUUUGAUGUACACAUAUAUUGUAGAAUGAUUACCAAGAUUAAGGUAAUUAACACAUCCAUCACCUUACAUAGUAACAUAGGUAACUUGUGUGUGUGGUGAGAAUGAUUUAAGAUCUACUCUCAGCUUUCGGGGUACAAUACCAUGCUGUGCACUAGAUCCUCAGAACUUGAAUUAAAUCAUUUUUAAGAGGGAAGUAAAAAUUAAGCUGAUCUCAGACAUCAAUAGUAGCAUUCAGUGCUUUUUAAAAGCAGUGGAGAAGGAAUUACAAAAUCCUUAAGGACUAAAAGUAAAUCCCAAUAAUUUAUAUGUAGACAAAAUGUUACUCAGUUAAAGUAACAACAACAAAUUAAGUUUGAAUACACAAGAAUGCAGGGAAUAUUCUUCUCAUGAAUUCUUCUUAAAGAAUCUACUAGAAAAUGAACUGGAACCAAGAAAUGAUAAAAUAUAAUAUAGUAAAAGAUAGUUUUUGAGUACUGACUUAAAUAUUAAGCCUGAAACUAAAGUGGGAAUUGAACAGAAUAGGAUUAAAAACCAAAGGAUGUCACAUUUUAGGAUUAUUAGAUAUAAAAUUUAAAAUUUGUGUGGAGGAGCAAAGUCCCCAAAUAACCAAAGCACUUCAGAAGGCUAGGAAACACUAGGCUGGUGAGCUUGCCUGCUCAAAUCCAGUGCUAGUCAUGUGGCUGUCGUGUGAUUCUGGUGUAAAAAUACAUGGAACAGAAGUAAGAUCCCAGAACCAGCUCCAUACUGGUGGAGGUCAGUUAUGUGAGAGGACAGGCAAAGGGGAGAUUAUUCAGUAAGUGCUGUUGAGAAAAUUAUCCAUAUGGGGGGAAGUAUUUAUGUCUUUGAUCUUUAUACAAAAAUCAGUUUAAAAUAUAUAAAAUCUCAGGAAGAAAAUAUAGUGGGAUGUGUUUGUAACUACAUAAAAAUAGGGGACUUGAUGUUUGAUAUUAUGUAUUAUCAUGUAUUUACAGUCCUUAGGAAAGGGUUUCCCAAAUAGCAUACAAAUACUGUUUAUAGAAGAAAAACAGAUUAAUUAUGCUAAGAACACUCACUCAUUACAAAACACCAUAAAAAUUCAAAAGACGUGGCACAGAGUGAGAGAAAUUACUUGUAACACAUAUAACCAGCAAAGGCUUAAUGUCUAAAAUACAUUCGUGGCUUUUCUCAGACAGAAGCUGAAAUAAGGCAUUUUACAUUAUCCAUUUUACUUAGUUUCUGCUUCCUCACACUAGAAUGUCAACUUCAUGAGAACAGUUUUUUUUUCUUUCAUGUCUGUGUUUCCACUGUCUAGGAGACUGCCAGCCACAAUGUAGCAUUCAGUAAAAGUUUGUUGAAUGAUGAACUCCUACAAUUCAUAAGAAAAAGUCACCCAACAGAGAAAUGGAUAAAAGACAUACAUGAAAAGGAGACACAAAUGGGAAACAAGUGCAAGUGAUAAAUAGGAGUAUCUACAACUUCACUGGUAAUCAGAGAAAUAAAAAGUAUGACAGUGAAAUAGCAUUUUGGAUCCUCAAACUUGGCAAAACUUAAGACAUUUUACAACAGCAAGCAGUUCUGAUCACACAGUCACUCUUUGUCUGGGAGGAGUCUGUGUCAAGAUCUGGGCCUUACAGUGUCCCCUCCCUGUAAUCCUCCCCGGUACCUCAUCUGCUCCUAAGAGUUAAACUUUUCACUUCACCCAGUAAUUGAAAAAUUCCCACCUCCUCUCUCAGCCUCAUCCACUCUCUGCUCUCCAUUUUACCUGAGGUAUUCCAGUCCUUUCACUGUCAGUGUGGCAGAAACUAACCCUAAAAUCAUUUCUUCCAAAUUGUAAAUCUUCUCACAUUCCUUGUUUCCCCUUACUUAGGUUCUGACGCUUUUCUUCUGUAUCUGACAACCAUGAAAAAACACCUGCAGUACUGAUCUCUGCAUAGUUCCUCUUAUUUUUUAUUUUCCUUUGAAAACUGUCCUCUGUAGCUUUUAUUUGUACUUUCCAGUGACCUCACUCAAAACCAGAGCCUUAUUCUCUGAUGCCUUAUUUCAUUCCUCAUUGUAAGUAUAUGUGUUUAAACCUUGUUAGCCUUAUGUGAGCCUCGGGUUCCCCCUGUUACUUAAGCACCUCUUCUUAAAACAAGCAUAUCAGUCCAUGUUCAUCUCUCUUUUUGGUUGCUGUUGCUCAGAGACUCGUAAGUUCCAUUUGAUCCCACCUCCUGAACUGCUCAUACAUCCCAUGCACCUCUUCCCGAGGUUUGCCUGUCCAGAGCCUUAAGAAAGGGCUUAGGACUGUGCCUGCCACGCAGUUCAUGCUCGUGGUGCUUAUUUUACACGUCGUUAACGUUUGAGCUAAAGUUCUGGCCUUUGUUUUGAAGUGCUGCUUAAUUGCUCUAGCCGACGUUAAUCUGUUCCCUCUUAGAGUUCCUGUUUCACUUAGCAGCUGAGCCACAAGGAACUCAGAGGAUUCUUUUUAGUAUUAUUUUUAAUGGAGGUUCUGGGGAUUGAACCCUGGAGGUCGUGCAUGCUAAGCGCACGCUCUACCCCUGAGCUGCACCCUCCCCUGGAACUCAGACUUCAUCGUGUAUUGUGACACCUGACAGCAUCUCGUUAUCACCUGAGGCUUUUGCCCCACCCUUUUUUUAACUCUUCCUUAAUUUGACAUGUAAUAUAUAAUAGAUCAGCUCAUCGAUUAAUACUGAUAGACACGUUUAUUCAGAAAGCAUUUCCUAAGUACAAAGGCCUAUAUCACUUACCUGUAGAUUCCGAUUCAUAGGGUAGAUAGGUUGACUUGGGGCCAUGACUGUCUGUACUCUCUGUUUUGAAUUAAAAUGACCAGGUAACUCUGAUGCAUAAUGCUUUUUGAGGGUCACCAACUAUACAUCUACCCAGAGGGAUCAGAGGUGACGGCAGAGACAUUAAAACCUGCUGAGAGCGUGCGCUGUGGUUGCGAGAGGGAAACAGAAGUGCAUGACACAGUUUGAAGUUCAGUGCUAUCACAUACCAAGCGCUACUGGAUUAAGGUGGCCCUUUCUCCACGGUGUGUGUUAAUGAAAAGUGUAAGUGGCGCCUAUUUCCGUGUUGGAGAAAAUGCAGUUUAAGAGGCGUGAUUUGAAUAAUGUAUGUGAGGCAGGGGGAGAGAGAAAAGAUGAGAGAGAAGGGGGGUACAUUUUCUGGAGGACAUCUGAGUUCCUAGUAGAACCACAGCUGAAAAGCAGACUGCCAAGUGGACAGAUCUGUCAGACUUGUGGCUUGUGAUUGGGAAUAAAGAUUUUAAGAAGUGUGUGUUGUGUAUUUUUGAAGGAUAUCUUGAAUAACUAAUAAAAACCUUAUUUUGUC